This 460-nucleotide ribosomal RNA is filed under the name uncultured bacterium. RNAcentral describes it as "partial 16S ribosomal RNA". It matches the Rfam family "Bacterial small subunit ribosomal RNA", at positions 338 to 795 of the family's 1533-position model. The record is from RNAcentral.
CCUACGGGUGGCAGCAGUGAGGAAUAUUGGUCAAUGGGCGCGAGCCUGAACCAGCCAAGUCGCGUGAAGGAUGACUGCUCUACGGGUUGUAAACUUCUUUUAUAAAGGAAUAAAGUGAGCCACGUGUGGCUAUUUGCAUGUACUUUAUGAAUAAGGAUCGGCUAACUCCGUGCCAGCAGCCGCGGUAAUACGGAGGAUGCGAGCGUUAUCCGGAUUUAUUGGGUUUAAAGGGUGCGUAGGUGGGUUGUUAAGUCAGUGGUGAAAGUUUGCGGCUCAACCAUAAAAUUGCAGUUGAUACUGGAAGACUUGAGUGUGUUUGAGGUAGGCGGAAUGCGUGGUGUAGCGGUGAAAUGCAUAGAUAUCACGAAGAACUCCGAUUGCGAAGGCAGCUUACUAAGCCACCACUGACACUGAUGCACGAAAGUGUGGGGAUCAAACAGGAUUAGAUACCCUAGUAGUC